RNAcentral lists this long non-coding RNA (1317 nucleotides) under Sus scrofa (pig). RNAcentral's name for it is "lncRNA (ENSSSCG00030005493.1)". The record is from RNAcentral. Lineage: Eukaryota; Metazoa; Chordata; Mammalia; Artiodactyla; Suidae.
ACAUGUUCCCAGCUGUGGGAGCCAUGCUGCCCUGCCAGCCUCCUGCGGGGGCCUGGCAGGAACUCUGUGCAGAGCCCAGAGCAGGUGGCCUCUGACUGACCCCUCCUGGAGCUGGGGGGAUGGAGGAAGCACAUGCCAGGGCUGAAAGUUGCAGGAACUGGGGCACCAGCGUUUCUGUUGGUAAAGAAAUGGGGAGCGAAGUUGCUAGGACCACGCUUACAGUUGGGUAUCAUUCGAAGGGCGUUUUUCCCAUGUUGACCUGUCAGUGCACCUGUGUCUCUUUCUCAGGUGCUGUGCUGGGUGUUGGGGAUACAAAGCCGAACAGGGUUGCGGGCUGAAAUGUGUCCCCUAAAGCUCGGUUGAAGCCCUAGCCUCUGGUACCCGUGAAUAUGACCUCAUUUAGUCGCAGGGGCUUUGCAGAUGGAACAGCCGAGUGAAGAUGGGGCCAGGCUGGGCCCCUAAUCCAAUAUGACUGGCCUCCUUAUGACAAGGGAGAUUUGGAUUCAGAGACUCUGAAGGAAGAGCUUGUGAAGACAAAGGCAGAGAUUAGAGAGAAGCUGCCACAAGCCAAGGAGCCCUGGGGCUACUGGAGGCUCAGAGGGACAAGGAGGGCCCUCCUCGCUUUCAGGCUUCAUCCUCCAGCACGGCAGGAGAGGUUCUGUAGAUUUAAAUACACGCUGCUUGUGACACUGUGUUGUGGCCAGCCCGGGGGCCCUGCAUUCACAGCACAGCAGGGACAAUGGUCGUUCUGCUGUCAUCCGCCGGCCCCGUUCUUGUCCGUAGGAUAGCAUGUAACGAGCAUCCCCAGCGCUUUCCUCUUCCGAGCAAUUCAGACGCUUCUCGAUGGAUGGUUUUGCUCAUGGUGCCUAUGGCUGGUCAAUAGUGUGGAUGAAUAGUGUGGUUUCCGUCAUGGCCCAGUGGUUAACAAGCCCGACUAGGAACCGUAAGGUUGCAGGUUCAAUCCCUGGCCUCGCUCAUUCUUUCUCAUUUUUUUUAAAUGACCGAAUAUUAGAAUAAAUACCAUACCAGCAAUCAAGGAAUCCUGUGCUAGGAGUUCCCGUUGUGGCUCAGCGGUUAAUGGACCUGACUAGCACCCAGGAGGACACGGGUUCGAUCCCUGGCCUUGCUCAGGGAUCCGGGUUAAGGAUCCGACAUUGCCGUGAGCUGUGGUGUAGGUCACAGAUGCAGUUCAGAUCCUGCGUUGCUGUGGCUGUGGCGUGGGCCCACAGCUACAGCUCCAAUUGGACCCCUGGCCUGGGAACCUCCAUAUGCCACAGGUGUGGCCCUAAAAGACAAAAGUCCAAAAAAAAAGAAAAA